GCACUCGGUCUCUCGGGCUAUUUUGUGUGUUCCCAGCUGACAGCCCACAUUUCUCCGCCGCACGCCUUGGCCACAGGACACAGAGCACUAAAAGGACAAGAGGCCAUUUUGGAUAACACCUCAAGGCUCAACAUGGAAGGAAGGCAGCAAUGGAGAAAACAAUGUGGACAGCAUGACAGCAGGAAUCCUGUCUAGUACCUUGGGUCACUCAAGAACGACGGUAAAUCCUGGUAAUUUAGGCCAAAAAUGAAGCCCAUGAACCUGAAAUUACCAUGAAAUUCUGAUUUACAGAAGUCCUACUAUGAAUUAGUCAGGAUUCCUUUCGGACAUCUCACUUCAUGCAAUCGCUGAUUAAGACAUUUCUUCAACAAACUACCUCACAAUUCACUCUUUUGGAUAAAGAGGAGAAGCUCUCAUUUUCCCAGUCCAUUGGAAAGGAGGUGAAAAAGGCAUGUUAGAAACUGAAAGGUAAGCUAGCAGGUGGGUCAGUGCCAAGUUUGGGAGGGAGGCAUUACCUUUCAACUUUGAUCUGCAGGUUCACUGAACUGUUUUAAUGUGACCUUGUCUGACCACAUCUAAGAAACUUGACUUUGAUUUCAGAGUAGGUUUCUCAGUAAGGUUUAGGAAUCAAAGGGCUCAUGGCAUCAGGACAAAAAUUUGAUAUGACAGCUUCUUGUGGAAUAGGCAAGAGGCUGGCCCCCAUAAGUAUGCUGAGAUAUUCAACGUCCAUUGCCUCAUUAGCGAUUACAGAAGUCAUUACCACUUGGAUCAUAAGCUUGCUGGCUCCGGUUUUCAAGACACAUUAUUUCCCAAUAUGAUGUCCUUACAUGUCAGAGGGAAAUGAGCUUAAGAAUGAACAGCAAAAUGUGAAAACACAACAAAAAUAGAUUUCAAAUGUCAUUUCCUUCUACUCAAUGUUUCUAAUUUCCCCUGCUAACUCUGUGAUUUUGUUAACUUAAAUGGCCAAAGUACCCUUUUAUGCCUAAUAGGUAAAUAGCACCAUGUAAAACAUGUAGCCUAACAUAAAUUCAAACACUAUUACCAAGCAAGCUCAAAGUGAUCCCAUUCAUAAAUGUGUCAGACACGUUUUUCUAGUAAACAUAAACCAUUAUAAAAAUUCCAAUAGCAGCUGCUAGAGAUAUUUAAAAUAUGUAUGUUAAUAUGUUUGGCUAUAACUUUUUACUUUAGGAGACGGAAACGUUGUUUUGAGCUCUCAUCUUGUGAGUAUUAUGAUUUGGAGUAGUCAUUCUGGCACUCUUAAUAGAGUAUACAGUGUGGAAGGAAAGAGCCGAAUUUAAAUAUCUACACCGAAACAAAAAUAUCCAUCUUUCAACCUACAGUGUUUUGAUGUAUAUAAAGACUAUGGGCUAUAAUUCUAGAAGGCUUUUAGAAUGAACCUCCAAGAAGUAUACCUAUAAACCAAUUGUCUAAUGACUUACACACAGAUAAUCCCUAUUAUUAGUGACUAUUUUAAUAUUUAAAAAGGUUGGGCUUCCCUGGUGGCGCAGUGGUUGAGAAUCUACCUGCCAAUGCAGGGGACACGGGUUCGAGCCCUGGUCUGGAAAGAUCCCACAUGCCACGGAACAACUAGGUCCGUAAGCCACAACUACUGAGCCUGCGUGUCUGGAGCCUGUGCUCCGCAACAAGAGAGGCCGUGAUAGUGAGAGGCCCGCGCACCGUGAUGAGGAGUGGCCCCCGCUUGCCGCAACUAGAGAAAGCCCUCGCACAGAAACGAAGACCCAACACAGCCAAAAAUAAAAAUAAAGUAAUUAAUUAAUUAAAAAAAGAAAGAAAGAAAGAAUGAAAAUGUGAGCUAGAGACACUGGAAAAGUUUAAAAAAAAAAUGUUACUUCCACCAAAAAAUACAGGCAUAGUUAGAAUCUGAGGUGAGUUCAUUUGUUUAUUCAGCAAACAUUUACUGAGCACCUACUA
Balaenoptera acutorostrata (minke whale) is the source of this 1932-nucleotide long non-coding RNA. RefSeq lists it as uncharacterized. The record is from RefSeq and is a predicted model, not a curated record. Lineage: Eukaryota; Metazoa; Chordata; Mammalia; Artiodactyla; Balaenopteridae. The transcript has 3 exons.